UCUGGUUGAUCCUACCAGACCUGACUGCUAUCGGGAUACGACUAAGCCAUGCAAGUUGAAUGGUUCUCGUAACCAUAGCGUACUGCUCAGUAACACGUAGAUAACCUACCCUAAGGUUGGGGAUAAUCCCGGGAAACUGGGCAUAAUCCCCAAUAGAUAAGCUGUACUGGAAUGUCUUCUUAUUCAAACCUCCGGGGCCUUAGGAUGGGUCUGCGGCGGGAUGGUAGUAGGUGGGGUAACGGCCCACCUAGCCUUUGAUCCGUACCGGACAUGAGAGUGUGUGCCGGGAGAUGGCCACUGAGACAAGGGGCCAGGCCCUACGGGGUGCAGCAGGCGCGAAAACUCUACAAUGCCCGAAAGGGUGAUAGGGGAAUCCCGAGUGCUUCCUUAGCCGGAAGUUUUUCCCGAGCGUAAUGUUCUCGGGGAAUAAGGGGAGGGCAAGGCUGGUGCCAGCCGCCGCGGUAAAACCAGCUCCCCGAGUGGUCAGGAUGAUUAUUGGGCCUAAAGCGUCCGUAGCCGGUCGUGUAAGUCUUUGGUGAAAGGUCGGGUCUUAAGCCCGAAUUUGCUAGCGAUACUGCGCGACUUGGGACCGGAAGAGGCAAAUGGUACGUUGAGGGUAGGGGUGAAAUCCUGUAAUCCCCAACGGACCACCGGUGGCGAAGGCGAUUUGCUGGGACGGAUCCGACGGUGAGGGACGAAACCCAGGGGAGCGAGCGGGAUUAGAUACCCCGGUAGUCCUGGGUGUAAACGAUGCGCACUAGGUGUUGGCGAAGCUACGAGCUCCGUCGGUGCCGAAGCGAAGGCGUUAAGUGCGCCGCCUGGGGAGUACGGUCGCAAGACUGAAACUUAAAGGAAUUGACGGGGGAGCACCACCAGGGGAGGAGCCUUCGGUUCAAUUGGACUCAACGCCGGAAAACUUACCGGAGUCGACAGCAUGAUGAUGGCCAGGCUGAAGACCUUGCUUGAAGCGCUGAGAGGAGGUGCAUGGCCGUCGCCAGCUCGUACCGUGAGGCGUCCUCUUAAGUGAGGCAACGAGCGAGACCCUCAUCCACAGUUGCCAGCACAAGAUGGUAUCUUGGUGGGCACACUGCGGAGACUGCCCGCGAAAAGUGGGAGGAAGGUGAGGGCCACGGCAGGUCAGUAUCCCCCGAAAACUCCGGGCCACACGCGGGCUACAAUGGCUGGGACAGAAGGCCCCGACCUUGAAAGAGGAAGGAAAUCCUUAAACCCAGUCUCAGUUGGGAUUGAGGGCUGCAACCCGCCCUCAUGAACGUGGAUUCCCUAGUAACCGCGUGUCAUCUAUCGCGCGAUGAAUACGUCCCUGCUCCUUGUACACACCGCCCGUCGUUGCACUCGAGUUGGGUUUGCCUGAGGCUGCAUUUUCCUUCGGGAAGGCGUAGACGAAGGUGAGUUCGAUAAGAGGGCAAAAGUCGUAACAAGGUA
Molecule: ribosomal RNA, 1443 nt
Filed under: metagenome
Description: bacterial SSU rRNA
Rfam family: Archaeal small subunit ribosomal RNA
Source: RNAcentral